Molecule: long non-coding RNA, 838 nt
Filed under: Oryzias javanicus (javanese ricefish)
Lineage: Eukaryota; Metazoa; Chordata; Actinopteri; Beloniformes; Adrianichthyidae
Description: lncRNA (ENSOJAG00000023600.1)
Source: RNAcentral
CGGUUGUAAAUCUUCCGAUUGUUCUUCCUGUUCCGUUUCAAGGUCGUCGCUGCAGAAACCUACAAAGGACCGCGCACACACACGUGUGUCGCCUCUGAGACGAGGCGGCUCUAAAUGGAUCUGGAGGUCAUGGCAGCAAUGAGAAUUGAUUGGCGACAGUGAGGAAAGUCCAGGGAGGCUUAAGGAUGAAGGUGCAGCUGUGCGAUGAUGGGGUGACAGAACCAAUGGGAGCGUCUUAAGUGCGUCUGCUCCACGCUGUGGUUGAACCUGGAGGAACACCAGAGCAGCUGCUCCUGACUCAAAGGUGAGCGCUGACACCUGCGGAACCAAGAGGAGCCUCAGAGGGAAGCAGAACAAAGAUGGAGACUCACAAUCACAGAGUCGGAGAGAGAUUCACAUCGUAUUAGUGUCAAAAAUGGACAAAAGUUAGAGGCUGAACAUUUCACUUUCAGACAUUUGAACCUGGAACAUUUUCAGAGCCGCAGAAAGCUCUUCUUCACGGACUCAUUUGAAAUGCCUCAGAGGUCCGUUUACAGAGGAACUUUGGAUCCAAACCCGGACAGUAAACAGAACCUCGUCGGUCUCUCUGGUGUUGCUUUAAUUACGCGCUGGCAGCAGAUUCCAGGCCUGCAGGUGUACCUUUAAAAACAGAGGAACGUGGAGUUGGACGCCAGCUCUUUGACCAGCUGAGGGAGUCAUGUGACCUGCAGCGCUUAGUCUAACACAGAGGUCUGUAACCUGCAGCUCCAGAUCUUUCAUCUUUCAAUGGUGGCUCUCUGGAUGAAGAAAAAUAAAAUAAUAGUAAAUAAAAAAAAAUGGAGAUUAGCUAUUAUUUUAG